AUAGAACUUAUGGCUUUUGUUCUGAGCUACUUCUCUGGCAGUUUUUCAGGGGUCAGCUCCGACCCUGGUUCUGCCUUCUACUGGUGGCCUGGGCUCUGAGGAAGAGAGGAGCACUUGCCUUCCUGGGACUCCUGGCCUCUUUGCCCUUGCUGUUCACCGGGGCUCAGGCUUGCCAUGGAUUCUCUCUGCUGCGGAGUGUCUGUGUCUCCUGGCUGCCGAAGGCUAGACACUGUGCCUCCCCCCUUGGACCUUUAUCCACAUUUGGCCCCUUCUGGAAUGCCCUUACCUGCCUGGCCAGUCACUGAUUACCCUUCAAACCCAGCACCCCACGAGCAGCCACUCCAUUGACACACAGAGAGACUGUGCACAAACCAAGCAGAGGCCCACCAGACCAACGAAACCCUGCUGGAACUUGAUCUUGGACUUCCAGCCUCCAGAACUGGUCUGCUCCUUGGCAAUUCCAAUGAGGACAAGUGCUCAACUUCAUUAGGAAGUUGACUUAAACCACAGUUUGAACCACAGUACAACUUAAACCACAGUAUUUAAACCACAGUACAACACCAUUUCAUGCUUACUGGGAUGGCCAAGAGGAAACUGCCAUAUACAGUUGAUGGAAAUGUGAAUUGACAGAACAUUUUGGAAAACUGUAUUUCAGUAUCAACAAAGCUGAAGAUAUGUUAUCUACCCUAUCAUCCAACGACUUCACUCCCAGGCAUACACUCAGCAGAAAUGCAUAUGUAUGUUCACCAAAAGACAGAUGCAAAAUGUUCAAAGUAGCACUGUUUCUUACAGCUCCAAACUGGAAACAGCUGAAAUUUAUCAACAGUAGAAUGAACAAAUG
Heterocephalus glaber (naked mole-rat) is the source of this 841-nucleotide non-coding RNA. Lineage: Eukaryota; Metazoa; Chordata; Mammalia; Rodentia; Bathyergidae. The record is from RefSeq and is a predicted model, not a curated record.